CCUACGGGAGGCAGCAGUGAGGAAUCUUGGUCAAUGGGCGCGAGCCUGAACCAGCCAAGUCGCGUGAGGGAAGACGGUCCUACGGAUUGUAAACCUCUUUUAUCGGGGAGCAAAAGACGCCACGUGUGGCGCUCCGAGAGUACCCGAAGAAAAAGCAUCGGCUAACUCCGUGCCAGCAGCCGCGGUAAUACGGAGGCUGAGAGCGUUAUCCGGAUUUAUUGGGUUAAAGGGGUGCGCAGGCGGAAGGUCAAGUCAGCGGUAAAAUUGAGAGGCUCAACCUCUUCGAGCCGUUGAAACUGGUUUUCUUGAGUGAGCGAGAAGUAGGCGGAAUGCGUGGUGUAGCGGUGAAAUGCAUAGAUAUCACGCAGAACUCCGAUUGCGAAGGCAGCAUACCGGCGCUCAACUGACGCUGAUGCACGAAAGUGAGGGUAUCGAACAGGAUUAGAUACCCGUGUAGUC
This 459-nucleotide ribosomal RNA is filed under the name uncultured bacterium. RNAcentral's name for it is "partial 16S ribosomal RNA". It matches the Rfam family "Bacterial small subunit ribosomal RNA", at positions 338 to 795 of the family's 1533-position model. The record is from RNAcentral.